GCUGCCCCAGCCCCGUCACCCCACAGAGGUCUUUGAGGGGUCUCCCAGCGGCACGCAGCGACCCCCCCCCUCCCGUUGAGGGGCCGUUUGCACUUUUAAGACAGCUAACAAUUCUAACAUAGUCACUUUGGAGUUAUUUCGUAGUGUUUCCAGCCUUCUGCUCAGAGCCCUGCAGCGCUGUGCGUGGCGGCACAAAGUUGUGGCCAAGUCCAAGGCCGGCCCGUGCUCUGCUGGACCCCAGCUCCAGCGUUACGAGAGGAACGCUGCCUUCAAAAUUAAAAAACCCUUUGAAAUUAAGAGAGCCAAGUGACAGUCUUCUCACAGAAACCUCCAUAUCCGCUCAGCAGUCCGGCUCGGCGCUUCAGGCUCAGGCCGGGCGGAGGAAAACCACAUUUUUGCUGCUGGGUUUGAUGUCCACUCACUCCGCCCGUUACGCACUGUGGAAUCAAAACCAGCAUGGGAUAAAUGAUCAGAGCGCGGAAAGGUGGCACGGCAUCAUCAGGGCUGAGGCAGAGUACAGGACUGACUACAGGGAAGGGCUGCCAACUGCGGCCAGUGCCCGCUACUGUGGACACCCUCAGCUCUCUCUUGCAGCCCCAGGCAGGCUGGAGCCAUUGCUUACCUCUCUACCUUCCAGUACCUGGACAGAGAUUUCAGUGCAACUGUGUUCGCUUUCACCUGGAAGAAACCAUGAAACAGCUGAAUAAAACAGACUUCUUGAAGAGUGACCAAAUGAAAACACGUGUUUUUCUGAUGAAGGAAAACACAGACCACAUCAUAGCAACUUUCCAUAAAACACAUACAGCACCUAAGGAAAGUCCUUUAUGUCGAGUGAAAGAAAAACCUCUGCAGAGUGCCCUAGAGCGCUACAAAAAGUUUUUUGAAUGGCUGCAUGAGAAGUGCCAGAAAACGGGCUGA
Molecule: long non-coding RNA, 918 nt
Filed under: Anser cygnoides (Swan goose)
Lineage: Eukaryota; Metazoa; Chordata; Aves; Anseriformes; Anatidae
Description: lncRNA (ENSACDG00005001312.1)
Source: RNAcentral